CUGCAGACAAUUACACCAACCAUCCUCCUCCCAAUGUGCAACAGCUGCAGACAGCAGCCUCCUUGGUAGUGGACACAGCCUAUUGCUUUUACGGGUGGCCCUAAGGGACCUUGGAGACAGCC
Molecule: small nucleolar RNA, 122 nt
Filed under: Choloepus hoffmanni (Hoffmann's two-fingered sloth)
Lineage: Eukaryota; Metazoa; Chordata; Mammalia; Pilosa; Megalonychidae
Description: Small nucleolar RNA SNORA70 (ENSCHOG00000015771.1)
Rfam family: Small nucleolar RNA SNORA70
About the family: snoRNA U70 seems to be exclusive to mammals and is a member of the H/ACA class of snoRNA which contain H (ANANNA) and ACA box motifs. H/ACA box snoRNAs are involved in the conversion of uridines to pseudouridines (5-ribosyluracil) a constituent of structural RNAs (transfer, ribosomal, small nuclear, and small nucleolar).
Source: RNAcentral